This 468-nucleotide ribosomal RNA is filed under the name uncultured bacterium. Its description in RNAcentral is "partial 16S ribosomal RNA". It matches the Rfam family "Bacterial small subunit ribosomal RNA", at positions 28 to 507 of the family's 1533-position model. The record is from RNAcentral.
GACGAACGCUGGCGGCGUGCUUAACACGUGCAAGUCGAACGGAAAGGCCCUGCUUUUGUGGGGUGCUCGAGUGGCGAACGGGUGAGUAACACGUGAGUAACCUGCCCUUGACUUUGGGAUAACUUCAGGAAACUGGGGCUAAUACCGGAUAGGAGCUCCUGCUGCAUGAUGGGGGUUGGAAAGUUUCGGCGGUUGGGGAUGGACUCGCGGCUUAUCAGCUUGUUGGUGGGGUAGUGGCUUACCAAGGCUUUGACGGGUAGCCGGCCUGAGAGGGUGACCGGCCACAUUGGGACUGAGAUACGGCCCAGACUCCUACGGGAGGCAGCAGUGGGGAAUAUUGCACAAUGGGCGGAAGCCUGAUGCAGCAACGCCGCGUGCGGGAUGACGGCCUUCGGGUUGUAAACCGCUUUCGCCUGUGACGAAGCGUGAGUGACGGUAAUGGGUAAAGAAGCACCGGCUAACUACGUG